GCAGCACCCCUGCCUCUAUUGGAAGCUGCCACAUUCUCCAUGGAGGGAGAAGCUCACUCCAGUGCCACUCCUACCCAAAUGAAGUACGCAGUAAAAGCUUAUUGACUUAACUCCUGACUGAGAUCUCCCAGAGAGAGGAUCCCAACAACAGCAGAAAGUCUUCCUACCCACUGAUUCCUUCUCCAGAAAAAUUCAGACUUCAGUGAAGAUGACUGAUUCCAAGGAGCUCUCAUUCAUGCAAGUCCUACUGAUUGAAGUGACUGCAUUUUUCCUUCAAGCUGCCCUCCUCUUACUUCUUUACAUUUUACUCAGGAGGCAAAUUGCCAACUGCGUUCAAAUGGUGAAAGCUGCAAGCACCCUGGUCCAGGAACUGAAGAAGCCAAAAAGUAAUACUGAGUCACCUGCCUCAGAAAAGACAAAGUGUAAAAGGAGUGCUCCAGCUUCCCAGAAUUAUAGGGACGAACGCCACAGUGGCAGUGAUUCCUCCUCAGAGAGCUCUGACAGCUCAGAAGGAUAUCCUUCAACUUCCACCAGCAAGGCACCCAGAGAUGUGAAUUACAGCACCCUGGUCUUUCCAGCCACUGAUUGCCAAAGGGCUUUGUCUCCUAAGAACUAUGAGAACACAAAGGCAGCCGGCGAUUAUGUCAAUGUGGAUCCCAAGAACUGUAAAAAGAAUGCCUGGAAUUUCAGUUACUCCUCUGAGCCAGUGGAAUACACAGAAGUGGCUAUGUGAAUUCUGACAACCAAAAGGGACUCGCUUCUCCACGGUCUUGGAUUUGAGUUAAAAGAAAAUAUCUUAAUAAUACAGAAAAUAUCUUAAUAAUAAUAUCUUAAUAAUAAUAGGGGACAGCUGGGUGACUCAAUAGAAUGAAAACCAGACUUAGAGACAGGAGGUCCUGGAUUCAAAUCUAGUCUCACAUUCCCUAGCUGUCACUUAACCCCCAUUGCCUUAGCCCUUACCCCCUUUGCCUUGAAACCAAUACAUAGUAUCAAUUCUAAGAUAGAUGGUAAGGGUUUAAAAAAUAAAUAACAUAACAAGAAGGAUUCUGGUUAGAGC
This 1057-nucleotide long non-coding RNA is filed under the name Monodelphis domestica (gray short-tailed opossum). RNAcentral describes it as "lncRNA (ENSMODG00000034432.2)". The record is from RNAcentral. Lineage: Eukaryota; Metazoa; Chordata; Mammalia; Didelphimorphia; Didelphidae.